AUCUGCGGGCAGAUCAGGUGGACGUGACAGUCGAUGGCGCCUGCGGUGACGAUUCGGCCGUUGCCCGCGAUGAUCUCGGUCGACGGGCCGACCACCAGAUCGGGGUGGACGCCGGACAUGAUGUCGGGAUUACCGGCCUUACCGAUCGCGACGAUCCGGCCGUCGCGGAUACCGAUGUCGGCCUUGAUGAUUCCCCAGUGAUCGACGAUCACCGCGCCGGUGAUGACGGUGUCCGGGGCGCCGUCGGCGCGGGUGGCCCGUCCCUGGCCCAUCGAUUCGC
RNAcentral lists this small RNA (280 nucleotides) under uncultured Mycobacterium sp. Its description in RNAcentral is "5' ureB small RNA". It matches the Rfam family "5' ureB small RNA". Lineage: Bacteria; Bacillati; Actinomycetota; Actinomycetes; Mycobacteriales; Mycobacteriaceae. The record is from RNAcentral.